This 555-nucleotide ribosomal RNA is filed under the name uncultured bacterium. RNAcentral's name for it is "bacterial SSU rRNA". It matches the Rfam family "Bacterial small subunit ribosomal RNA", at positions 58 to 611 of the family's 1533-position model. The record is from RNAcentral.
CAAGUCGAGCGAGAAAGCCCCUCGGGGUGAGUACAGCGGCGGACGGGUGAGUAACGCGUAGGAAUCUACCCAGUAGUGGGGGACAACUAGUGGAAACGCUAGCUAAUACCGCAUACGCCCUACGGGGGAAAGCGGGGGACCUUCGGGCCUCGUGCUAUUGGAUGAGCCUGCGUAAGAUUAGCUUGUUGGUGGGGUAAUGGCUCACCAAGGCGACGAUCUUUAGCUGGUCUGAGAGGAUGAUCAGCCACACCGGGACUGAGACACGGCCCGGACUCCUACGGGAGGCAGCAGUCGGGAAUAUUGCGCAAUGGGCGAAAGCCUGACGCAGCCAUGCCGCGUGUGUGAAGAAGGCCCUAGGGUUGUAAAGCACUUUCAAUUGGGAGGAAAAGCUAAUGGUUAAUAACCAUUAGCCCUGACGUUACCUUUAGAAGAAGCACCGGCUAACUCCGUGCCAGCAGCCGCGGUAAUACGGAGGGUGCAAGCGUUAAUCGGAAUUACUGGGCGUAUAGCGCGCGUAGGCGGUUUUUUAAGUCGGAUGUGAAAGCCCCGGGCUCA